AGCAUUACGCGUUGGGCGUGUGCGAUAUUGUUGUAUUCGAGCAACUUUUUGGUUAGAAAACAGACAGUCUCUUCUCUUAGAACAAUAAAUAUAAUCACGAUUAUCCUUUGAUCAUUAAUAAUUAAAGAGAUAAUUUUAUCUCUGUUUCUUUUGCAGAAUUCUCUAAAAACUAUGACUAAAGUUCAACAGUCAGCCGAAGUUCAUACCAUCGACCUCAGAGGUAUAGCAGGAGCAAUAUUGGCCCUAGCAGUUGCUGCUAUUUUAGCCGGAGUUCUCGGAUUUGCUACUUCCGGUUGGUUAAUUCAAGAUCGUUCAAAUUCUGAAACUACCCAACAUGGACUUUGGGAAACUUGCAAUUGUGACACGAUUAAAAUUAAAGAUAGGCAAGAUUGGUUUCAAGCUGUUCAAGCCCUUACUACUAUUGGUUUAGGAUUUGGGGCCAUAGCACUUUUGGGAGCAGGAUUUUAUGUUUGUAUUCAUGGCUGCUGUACAAAGGGUGGAAUGCUUAUCACGGUCCUUAUUGGAUCUAUAUGCUCUGCUAUCUUCUCCGUUGUUGGGUUAAUUAUAUUUGCCGUUAAGAAGAACGAACUAAAAAGAGGUGGAUCACACGAGGACAACCCAUCACUAUCUUGGUCAUUUGCUUUUAUUGCUAUUGGAGCUGGAUUUUUCGUAAUUGUUGCUGUCCUAAGCAGCAUUCAAUUUUAUAGAGCUCGACGUUAAAUCAGAAAUCAAAACAAGAAUUAGUAGAAUUUCCUUAGAAAUGCUUUAAUUUCUAUCUGAAAUUUAUUUCCUUUUGUUUUUUUUAUUAUUUUUCUCUUAAUUUUUUUGACAUAAAAAGAAAAGUGAAAAUCUUCAUCUUUUUAAAAUUAAGAAACAAACAAAAUCAAAGUCUAAAAUAAUUAAAUUAACAAAAUCGUACCAAAUGAAAAAAAUAUUAGCCAAUCGUAUAUUUUUUAGGCCAAUGCCAAUAAAACAUGUAAUUAAUAUCUAAUUAAGAACUCCUAAACAGUUUUAUACAUAUUUUUCCUUGUUUUUUUUAUGUUAACAGAAAUUUUUACCACCAAUAACCUAUUUUUGUUUUUAACUUUUGUUUUCUAUUUUUUAAUUUUACCUUUUAUGUCUGUUUUUUUUUUUAUCGCGAAUUAGAUUGUUUUGCAUUUAGGAUAAAUAAUUGAAAAAAAAUCUAACUUUUUAACUCUUUUCUUUUGAACAUGAAAAGAAAGAAAAAGACGAAUGAAGGUUGAAAUCUUUUUCAACUUUCGAUAAUAAUGUUUAUCUUCUUUCUUUUUAAUUUUUGUUCGGAAAGAAAUAAUGGAAAAAAAGUGAACAACUUAAAAAAAUUGUGUCAAAAGUUUGCUGUGAAUUGAAUUAAAACUUCAAAAGGAAAUCCUAUUGAUAAAGAGAGAUUUUUUACGAAUAAUAAUCUAAUAUACUAUAUUAUUAUAGCUAAAUAUCUAUAGUUAAAUGGUUGUAAUAAUCAUUUAUAUUUUAUUUAAAAAUCUCUCUUAUGAUUGGCCUUUUUACUUAUGAAAAAUGAUAUA
Molecule: unclassified non-coding RNA, 1541 nt
Filed under: Dimorphilus gyrociliatus
Lineage: Eukaryota; Metazoa; Annelida; Polychaeta; Dinophilidae
Description: dgyrCDS13246
Source: RNAcentral